Molecule: ribosomal RNA, 612 nt
Filed under: fungal sp. APA-2013
Lineage: Eukaryota; Fungi
Description: eukaryotic LSU rRNA
Rfam family: 5.8S ribosomal RNA (bases 248-401)
Source: RNAcentral
AGGAAGUAAAAGUCGUAACAAGGUUUCCGUAGGUGAACCUGCGGAAGGAUCAUUAAAUUCAGUAGCUUGCUACUGUUAGGGGGGUCUAUUAGUCUGUAUAGUAUCACUACUGAUGAGCAGCACGACCCUCUGUCUAUACCCUUGUCUUUUGCGCACUCAUGUUUCCUCGGCGGCUUUAUACCCGCCGGCUGGAUCAAUCUAUAACCUUUUUAAUUUUCAAUCAGCGUCUGAAAAACCUAAUAAUUACAACUUUCAACAACGGAUCUCUUGGUUCUGGCAUCGAUGAAGAACGCAGCGAAAUGCGAUAAGUAGUGUGAAUUGCAGAAUUCAGUGAAUCAUCGAAUCUUUGAACGCACAUUGCGCCCCUUGGUAUUCCAUGGGGCAUGCCUGUUCGAGCGUCAUUUGUACCCUCAAGCUCUGCUUGGUGUUGGGUGUUUGUCCACUAUCGUGGACUCGCCUUAAAGUCAUUGGCAGCCAGUGUUUUGGUAUUGAAGCGCAGCACAUUUUGCGCCUCUAGCCUAGAACACUAGCGUCCAGUAAGCCUUUUUCCACUUUUGACCUCGGAUCAGGUAGGGAUACCCGCUGAACUUAAGCAUAUCAAUAAGCGGAGGA